This 432-nucleotide ribosomal RNA is filed under the name Triticum aestivum (bread wheat). Its description in RNAcentral is "partial small subunit ribosomal RNA". Lineage: Eukaryota; Viridiplantae; Streptophyta; Magnoliopsida; Poales; Poaceae. The record is from RNAcentral.
AUGAUCAUUGACUAUGCUCACUUCGGUGAUGUUGUUACGUUUGAUACUACAUUUGGGACAAGUACAGAGUACAGACCCUUUGGUGUAUUUGUUGGCUUCAACCAUUUUAGAGAAAUGGUCAUUUUUGGUGCUGCACUUCUAUACAACGAGACAUUUGAAUCCUUCAGAUGGUUGUUCAACACUUUCCUACAUAACAAAAAGCAGCCUAGAACUAUCUUUACUGACCAGGACGUAGCAAUGGGUAAUGCAAUUCGGGCGGUAUUUACAGAAGCAUGGCAUGGAUUGUGCACUUUUCACAUAAUGCAAAAUGCCAUCAAACAUUUACCUCAUAAGAAAAAGACGAGGAUGGCCCAAAUGUACUUGCUGAUUUUAGUGCUUGCAUGUACAAGUACGAGGAAGAGGAAGACUUUGAAGAAGCUUUCACUGCCAUAA